GAUGAACGCUGGCGGCGUGCCUAAUACAUGCAAGUAAAACGCUGAAGGAGGAGCUUGCUCUUCUGGAUGAGUUGCGAACGGGUGAGUAACGCGUAGGUAACCUGCCUGGUAGCGGGGGAUAACUAUUGGAAACGAUAGCUAAUACCGCAUGACAACAGUUAUUGCAUGAUAACUGUUUAAAAGGGGCAACUGCUCCACUACCAGAUGGACCUGCGUUGUAUUAGCUAGUUGGUGAGGUAACGGCUCACCAAGGCGACGAUACAUAGCCGACCUGAGAGGGUGAUCGGCCACACUGGGACUGAGACACGGCCCAGACUCCUACGGGAGGCAGCAGUAGGGAAUCUUCGGCAAUGGACGGAAGUCUGACCGAGCAACGCCGCGUGAGUGAAGAAGGUUUUCGGAUCGUAAAGCUCUGUUGUAAGAGAAGAACGAGUGUGAGAGUGGAAAGUUCACACUGUGACGGUAUCUUACCAGAAAGGGACGGCUAACUACGUG
Molecule: ribosomal RNA, 495 nt
Filed under: uncultured bacterium
Lineage: Bacteria
Description: partial 16S ribosomal RNA
Rfam family: Bacterial small subunit ribosomal RNA
Source: RNAcentral